This 1415-nucleotide long non-coding RNA is filed under the name Oryctolagus cuniculus (rabbit). RNAcentral describes it as "lncRNA (ENSOCUG00000035272.1)". The record is from RNAcentral. Lineage: Eukaryota; Metazoa; Chordata; Mammalia; Lagomorpha; Leporidae.
GACAGUGGCACAGGCCGGGAUCCCUGGAAGUGAAGCGAGGGCUCAGCCUGUCCCCCGUGAAGCAGACGACAAGCACCUUCCCUAGAGGCGAGGGCACAAGUCGGGCAGUCUCUGCCUCCGGCCUCUCUCCUGUCCUGCUCCCACCUGGCCAGCCACCCGGGGUGUCCAAGGAGGCAGCACCAGAGACAGCAGGGUUACUUUCUCGUCCCCCUCCCCUUCCUCCUCCUCCUCCCCCUCCUCUCCCUCCCCCCCUCCCCCUCCCCUCCCGACAGCCCCCCUUUCAGUUCCUUACAAUCCAGUCUGGCAGGGCGAGCUGGGCCAGACGAGUGGGAGCUGGGAAGACACAGUCAGAGGCCAGCUGGGGCCAAGAGCCACAAACCACGGUGCCCGUUCCCCCACACCGCCCCCACCCGGCCUUGGCUUGGCUGCCAGGAAGGCGGGGGCAGGGUGGGGACCCCAAGUCAUCUCCAGGACAGGCCCCUCCCAGGCGUCCCCAGGGCGGGAGGGUGGGGCACACACUGAGUCACCAAGCUUCCCUCCCCCUCUCCCGGGCCUCCUGUGUGUGGUGCAGGGAGAAGGUGCUGGCUGGCACGUCUCCCCCCUCCCGCUCCGGGCUCUCUCUGCCUCCCGGGGGGAGGGGGGGUCCUCCCUUUGGAGCAUGCGCCUUCACGGUCCCCAGGGAACCCACGGAGAUCCGGAGUGGGCGGCUGAGCGCCCACCCUGAGUCCCAGGCUGCAUCUCCAGGCUGGAUGCUUCUGAGCCGCGGGUCAGACCGCGGAAAGCAGGGGAUUCCCGCGGGUUCAGCUCCGGCUCUGCCAUCCGCCAGCCACGUGAGCUCGGACAGUCACAGUCACGGGAGUUCUCUGUCAGCUUCGCGUGUGUGCGAUGGGGGGAAGGGCAGGAUCGGCGCCCUGGCGUGGAGGGUCAGAUGCCUCUGCCAGCAGUGCUGGGUCACUCACUGGCAGCUCCUGGCCGCAAGGGUUAACCCCGGAAGGAGGAGCAGCCCUGGUCCCUCUUCCCCCUUGGGCCUGGCAGGACUGGGAGGAGGGCGGGAGGGAGCUGAGACCUCCUUAGGACGGAGACAGGAAGCCUCGGUAGGGAGAGGCACAGGGCCUGCUUCAGGAACCAGACACCUCAGGCUCUCCAAGUCUUUACACUCUCCCCCAAACUCCUCCCCAGAGAACCAGAAAAGAAAAAGCCUGGUCAAGAAUAUUUUGUGGGGCUGGCACUGUGGCAUAGUGGGUGGGGCCACUGCCUGCAAUGCUGGCAUCCCAUAUGGGCAACGGUUUGAGUCCCAGCUGCUCCACUUCCCUGUUAAUGGCCUGGGAAAGCAGUGGAAGAUGGUCCAACUGCUUGGACCCCUGCACCCACGUGGGAGACCCAGAAGAAGCUCCUGGCUCCUGGCCUCGGUCUGA